ACUCUGAGUAAAUAGAAAGCCAUUGGAGGGUUUUAAGCAGAGGAGGAACAUGCUCUGACUUAUGAUUUCGAAAGAUCACUGUUGAGAAUAGACUGUAAGGGGGCAAUGGUGAAAGUUGAUAGACCAUUAAUAGUCUAGAUGAGAGAUGACCAUGUCUUCGAUGAGGGGGUAGGAGUGAUGAUGAUGAUAAAUUAUUGGAUUUUGGAUAUAUUUUGAAGGCAGAACCAAUAGGCUUUUCUGAUGAAAAUGAUGUGAUAUGAGAAAAAAAUGACAAAAAGGUUGUGGGUGAUGAUGAGAGAAGAGAAUACAAGGCCAAAGAGAAGGGAUUUCCCUUGUUGUGGAGGAGUCUCACUCACCUUGAAGCAGGAGGGAAAGCAGGGAUCUGGGUGGAAAAAGAUCUAGAGAAUCCUCAUCUAAGCAGAAGAUGAAGGAGUAAAGAGAGAAAGAUGGGUGUAUUGGAAGCUUGCGGGUGAUGGAGAAAGUUUCAAAUAAUUCUUGGAAAAUAAGUUGAAAAAAGAAACGUAACACAGUUGUUAGAGCAGGGCAUGAUUGCUUGUGCCUAUAGUCCCAGCUACUUGGGAUCCUGAGGCAGGAGGAUCUCUUGAGCCCAGGAGAUGGAGGCUGCGUUGAGCUGUGUUUAUGCCACUGCACUCCAGCCUAAGCGACAGAGCAAGACUCCAUUUCUUAAAAAUAAAACAAAAAUGUAGUUGUUAGUAUUGAGGGCCCAUAAGAAGUUGGUGAUGAUGAACCUAUCUACGCUUUUGAUCACCUCCAGCAGAGUUUGACUGUUGCGUGCAAGCAAAGAGAAAGGAGAUGGCGGGGUUCAAUGAGGGCUGUCGUUUUCCUAGAUAGGUUUGUAGAAAAAACAGAGAGGAAGGGAGUUUAAGGGAUUGGCAAAAAGGAUAUAGUAAUAACAGACCAUGGAAUAAAAAUUGAGUAAGAAGGAAAGUGAAAACAGCUGAAGGCUAAUGAAUUGGGAGAAAGCAGAUGGAUCAAUAGACUGGAGGCCCCAAUAUUUCUAAGAGCAGUUGGAGUUGUUGUCAUGCAAGUUGGAAGGAAAGAUGCUUAUCCAAAAGCUGAAUGCCUGAAUCAGUAAUCUUGCGGCAGAGCUAUUGUAGGUGAUGACAAGGUCAGUCCUUUGAAGUCUAUGCAUAUAUAUCUUCAUUAUAGGCUGACUUGCCAAGUCUUAGAAUUUUUACAAUAUAACCUCACUGUGGAUCUCAUCUAAGCAGGUUUGGUAACCAAAAGCUCAAGAGCGUGAGAUUGAGACCCCAGAGAGCUCAUAGCCUGUCACAAACCAGCUGUGUAACCACGGACCUUGAGGAAAUGAACCUUAUGGUCCCUUCCGUCUCUAAUCUGUGACUCCAUAGCCCCAUUAUAAUAUAGCCUUUUCCCAAACACUGACCUUCAACAUAGACCCUGGGGGAUUUUUCUAUUAAAAAUUUGCAACUCUGCACAUUUUUAUCUGCUGAUGCCUCUUGGAAUAUUAAAUGCUUAGAAAGCUGUCGUCGGGAUCACAUUCUGGAAUCUUGACCAUGUAGUCAUCUGAGUGGGUGUGACAGGAAGUAUACACCAGCAGCAUUUGUGUCUGAGUGUCCUUCAGACACUGGGAUGGCUGCACCUUUACCCGUCCUCUCCAACUCUCUCCACCUAGAAAGUAUUCUUUUCUCUUAAUUUUGUUAGAGUUAUAUAGGAAUGCUCCUUCAGCAGAAAUGACAGAGGCUGUUGCUCUCAGAAUCAAAUGCAAUAAUGUGACCUGUAAAUUCCUGUGAAUAUUUGGAUAUUUUAGCGAUAUUUGUUUAUUCAGAAGAGAUUCUGGAUGCAGAACUCUCCUCCUCUCUGUUCUCUAACCCUGCUUUCCACCAUCAUUCUUCUCUCUCUAGGGCACAGAGAGAAUUAAGAACAACCUAAGUUUUCUAGGGUCAUUACAAUGAUCUAACUGCCUUACCUGCUUUUGAACUGGUUGAGCCUCUUGUGGGACCGAAAACAAAAGAAGGGUGUUGAAAUGCAAAUAGAUAACUCUGGGUCCCAGUCCCUGACUGCAAAAGGAAGCCAAAACUGACAACAACGUCUCCUUCUCUACGGAGGUUUGUAGAAAGGCUGUACAAAAAUCUCACAAGAUGUAUUUCUUCUCGUGGACUGGAGUCCCAAGGUGCUUAAGAGCUCUUCAAUUUGUUAAUGGAAAGAAACACCAUUUACACCGGAUGGCUACAAAGCAACCUUAUUCUGAGAGAGAGGAUCUCAUUCUGUCACCCAGGCUGGAGUGCAUGAUCAUAGCUCACUGCAGCCUCGACCUCCUGGGCUCAAGUGAUCCUCCUGCUCCAGCCUCUCAAGUAGCUAGGACUACAGAUCUUUUCUCAGAAUAGCAGUCUGUAGGCUGUCACCUAAAGUGUCCUGUUUUCAGUGCUGCACCUGCUCUGAGCUUCAUCUUUUUACGAAGACGUCAUGGUGUGCUAUCUGUACUGGGAAACUUUCCCCAGCAUCAGCCAUCUCCUGAAGAUAACAUUGUCUGCUAGAGAUUGUCAUGUAUGUGGAUUGAAUCUCUUUAUCUUCAUGGUCCUCUUUCUGUGCCCCCAGCCCGGUUGACAAUGUGUGCCUUCACUCACCCAAUUAGAAACCUUGGAGGUAUCCUGUACUCUUCUGUCACUUACCCUCAGCCUAAAGCCAAUCAGUCACCAAAGUAUUGUCUGUCAUUAUCAUCAUCAUCAUCAUCAUCACUGUCACCACUGAUGGAGUGAGAACCUUGUGCAGUUGAGCAUGAACCCCAAUUUCAUUUGCAAAAUGACCCAGACAGCAGAUUUCAUCUCAUAUGAAAUAAGCAAGGUGAGGUUUUGAUGACGUUACAGACAUGGCUAAGAAGAGGUUGAGAACCAGCAUUCAGCCCACCUGACUCCAAAGCUCAUGCCCCGAACCUCAGAAACUUCUCCAGUGAGUUCCUUUUUUUUAAUGGCAGGAUCACACCAUUAGUUUGGACUGGAUCCAACCUGGAUUGUUGCAACAGCCUUUGAUCUGAUCUGUCAAGCCCUGUGCCUUCUGUGCAACCCAUUCUCUACCCUGGCACGAGCAUUACUAAAAUACCAAUCUGGUCCUAUGACUCCUCUGCAUAAAAACCACGGCUGGGGCUGGUCAAGUGCAACAGUGUUUACAACUAAUUGAUCACAACCAGUUACAGAUAUCUUUGUUCCUUCUUUAGCCAAAAACAAACAGAAAAACAAACAAAACCCAAAUAACAAAAACAAACACAAAAAACCCCCCAUUGUUUGUUCCCUUUUGCAUCUUUUGAAUUCUAAACUCCUCACAUAGCAUAAAAUCCCCUUCUGGGUCUUUUCCCAGCCUACAACCCACUUCCCCACCUGCCCCAUUCCCCCUGUUGCUCCUACCUCUGGCCUUACUUCAGCCCCAGGGUCCCCUGCUGGACAUGGCAGGCCCAGCACAUGCUGCCCUGGGCCCUUUCACUUUGCUUUGUGACAUAUUUUUCAUCCUUCAACCUUCAGCUCAUAAGCCAUAUUCUCUGUGAAGGCAUCCAGAGGGCCCGAGACAGCCCCUCCCACCUGUGUUCCUCAGAGCAUUCUGUGCCCAUAAUUAGGGUGAACACAUUUCUGAAUCAGCAGUGGAAAUGUUUCAGUUCAGACAGUUACGCAUGUGCCCCUGAAGGCAAUGGGACAGUUAAUAGAGCAAAGUCCAGAAGAAACUCUUGGAGAUGAUUCCUCUUUAUCUGUCUGCUACCCUGUAGAGGGGUGGGGAAGGUACUUCCAGGGUAGAGAGCUGUGGGUGGCCCUUGUAUCUCUUGGAGAUGAUUCCUCUUUGUCUGUCUGCUACCCUGUAGAGGGGUGGGGAAGGUACUUCCAGGGUAGAGAGCUGUGGGUGGUCCUUGUAUUUGCCCACACCUGACACGAUGCCUAACUGUUGUUUGCUGAAUGUAUGAAGACUAUGCCAGGCCUGAGAUUCUUUUGAACAUAACCAAAUGUCAUGUGUAAAUUUCUCCAAAUAACCAACCAACAAACCCAGCUCUUUAUAACAAUGGACAAUCCAGCAUGAGUAUUAGGACUCUGUUUAAGUCUCAGGUUUAUCACUAGAACAAUUCUCAUAGACACACUUCUUCAUCUGUAAAAUGGGGAUAAUAGUAGCUACUUACGGGAGUUGCAGUGAAGACUCUGUGAAUGAAUUGAAGGAAAUUAGCAGGCACAGAGUCUGGCAAAGAAGUCUUUGUUUCAGGCACAAAGAUAUGUGUAGCUCAUCACUAUAAACAGGAACUAGAAGGCAAGGUCAUGUUCUAGAAUAACUUUUAAAAGUUAGGAUAUUGUUGGGAAUUUUAAAAGGUAAGACAAUUAAAAAUAUGACUAAUAUUUGUCAGCUUUUUUUUUUUUUUUUUUUGAUACAGAGUCUUGCUCUUUUACCCAGGCUGGAGUGAAGUGGCGCCAUCUCAGCUCAUUACAGCCUCUGCCUCCCGGGUUUAAGCGAUUCUCCCUCCUCAGCCUUCUUGAGUAGCUGGGAUUACAGGCACCCGCCAUCAUGCCCGGCUAAUUUUUGUAUUUUUAGUAGAGACUGGGGUUCACCGUGUUGUUCAGGCUGGUCUUGAACUCCUGACCUCAAGUGAUCCACCCACCUCGACCUCCCAAAGUGCUGGGAUUACAGGCUUGAGCCACUGCGCCUGGCCUCAUUUGUUAGCUUUAACAUAUGAAGAGACAUCCUCCUAAAUGUUAAAGUACUCUUUGACAUUUUACCUAUGCAUUUUACAGUUGGGCUGGGAGAGAUGUGACUCCCGGUUUGUUUUGCCUCACCUUUGCAUUUCAUCAGCUGUGUCUGAUCCCAGCCUAGCCUGUGUGUCGGAAUCACUUGGAUGAGUGUUUUACAGACUCCUGGGCUCUACCCCAAACCCACUGAAUCAGAAUGGGGACAGGAAGGGAACUGUAAAUCUACAUUUAUGAAAACCUCCCCUUGUGGUUUUGAUAGUCUGCAAGGUUUGGGAAUCACUAGUUCCCAAACACACCAGUAGAAAAGCAUAUAGUAAUUAACAUUCUCAAUUUCUCAGCUUUACAGUGUUUGUAAUUAAAAAUUUUUAUUUGCUUUUUUGUAAGCAAUAUUAGCUUUCUCAAUGUCUGUUUCACCUUCACUGCAGUCUGUUUAUCCAGCCUGGGAAAAAAACUGGCUCCACUUAAACAAUGAGACAAAAAAGGUGCAAACCUGACAGCUUCCCUACCUUUUUUGCAUUAGCGUGUAGGUAUUUCCUCCAUGUCCUACCAGGGCCAUUUAAAUGCUAAUAUAGUUAAGUACAACAAUCUUUUUAGCAAUCAGAUGGAAUUGUUUUUUACCACAAUCUUAUUUCUCAUUUCUCCAGUCCGUACUUUUCCUUUUUUGGGGCAGGGUGGGGGUAGGGCUAGAGGGGCAUACAUUUAAAUUCUUUGACCUUUCAAACCUUAACAAAAAUUCUCUCCUAAUAUCUUCUCAGCAGUUCUUGCAAUGUGUGUAUCCUCUAAACCUGAGCUCUGUAAUUUGAAUGUGCUGAGUCACCUUGUCUUUGCAGGGUCAAACAUUUUGCAUCCAGGAAAAGUACUGCAGAAAAUCACACCAUUAGCAGCUAGCUGGUAUGUUAUUUGAAUAUUUGAAUACAAAUAGGAAGACUGGAAAGGAGAAAGUUACUGUGUACAUAGAUACAUAGUAACUUACAUAUACUUAAAACAACCUUUUUUUUUUUUCUAAUAGUCUGCUAAGUCCUCUUUCUGAUUGAUGACUUUUUUGUGUGUGAAAUUCUCUAAAUAUUUAUUUGUGUUCCUAGAAAGUGAAAAUGAAUAUAAAUGGUAAAGCAGUUGCCUUGCAAUGUUUAAUAAAAGGAGAAAAUAGUCUUUGCUAUUAUACUGAAGCUUUGCAUAAUUAAGAUUCUUGAAUUAAUUUUAAAGAAUUAAUAACAAAAAAAUACAAUCAUGAACCAGAUAUUGAGAGUUAAUGUCUAAUUUAAGUUCAACUUUUAGGGAGUCCGUUUUCCUAUUUUGAUCAUGUAGUUGAAUAGACAGUGAGGAGAUGUUACUACAACUGUAUUAAUAGAGGAAGUGGCAGGAAGCUACAGUUUCCUUAGAAUCAGAAAGAAAGUUUAUAGAACUCACUGGAAAUGAGGGUUAUAGAUAAAGAUUGAAGUAGGAAUAACUUCUAUUUAGAAUUGCUAUUGUAUUUUUGUAACAUAAGAGUGGUUUUCUUUAAAGUAAGUAUUUGGGGCUAAAGAGAAUGCCAACACUCCACUCACAGGGAAGUCGGAAAGCUUACCAGUAUUAACAAACAUCCGAAGUCAUUUCACAAGGUGGAAGUUUACUAUAGAACCAGUAAACAUAAUCUUCCUCCAGGGUGUUUUGAGUCAUGAAUGGGGAGCAACUUGCUCCCUUCGUGGAUGGAGCACUGGGGACAAGCUUCUCUGCAUCAGAGCCUGUGAAAUAUCAAUAGCAACAGCUACUGUACUCUGAGUGCUCACUUCCUCUAUGCCAGAGGCUGGCUCUGGUCUUUAAUUGAAUUCGCUCACUAUACAGCCCCCUAUACAGAAGGAACGCUAAUUUUCAAUACCUUAAAGAGGCCAAAUCAUUCCCACAGCAUUAGUGGCAGAGGGGGUAUUUGAACCCAGGCAGAAUGACUCGAACUCCCUGGUAAUUAGCCAUGGUGGAGAAUGUCUCCCAGCUCACAAAAAUGACUACUCACUGGCAAGUAACACUAAGUACAGAAAGAAUGUCAUCAGUUGGUUGGUGUUCUUGCUUUCUCUCCGUGAACAAUUAAGAGGGCGCAGAGGUGAGAUGGGGUGGGGUGGGAUAAAGGGAAGGCCUGGAAGAAGGGACAGAAGGGCUGCAAAUAAUCACCCGGGAGCCCAGUGAGACUCAGAGAAAGAUUCUAACCUAAAAUACUCUUCUGCUGUCAGCUAUUCUGUAAUUAACAUCCACAGAUGAAAACAUGAAGUGUAUUAAAAAUCCUUUGUGUUUUUUUUCAAUUUUGACUGAUGGACAUAAUAUAAUGACUUGAUAAUUAAAAAAAAAGAAAGAAAGAAAACCCACAAAACCCAACAACCCAAAAUUCUAAACUAACUGCUUUUCAUCAUUCUACUCCCUGAUUAGACAUGGAAUUGGGCUCGUUACUACGGGUAGAACAAUGGCCUGUGUUGGGCAGGACAAGGGCAUGGAAGCUCUCCAGCAAGCAGCACAGUGGGACAGCACAGGCUUCUAGCAGGCAUGGUUUCAGUCUCAAUUGUUUACAAGCCUUGGGAUCUGGAACAAUUGAUUUGAGCCCUACAACAUUAGAAUGGUUCCUUUUCUCAGGGCCUAAUAUGGGGUCAGAGAAGGCACUCAGCAAGGAGGGUUUUUUCAGAGGCCCAGGAAGAACUAGUUCAGAGGCCGAGCCUCCUGGGAGAACACGUAGAUGAGUGGGGUCAGGUGCCUGUGUCUGAGAUCUAGCUCAGGUCAGGGCAGUUUUCAUUGAGAAGGUGACAUUUGAACAAAGAUUUGAAGUUGCUGAGUGAGUUAGCCAUGUGGGAAUCUCAAUAGAAGAGAUUUCCAAGCAGAGGAAACAACUAAGGAGAAACAGGAAAUUGCCUUCUGGCAAGAUGUAGGAACAGCAAGGAAGUAAGUGUGGCUGAAACAGAGUGAGUGAGGGGUAAAGUAGUUGAAAGUGAGGUCGGGGAGUAAGAGAGUCAGACUGGCCAGCAUCAUUUUAAGGACUCUGAGUUUUAACUAUGAGAGGAACAUGGAGCCAUUGCAAAGUUCUGAGCAGAGGAGGACAUGUGACUGAGAGUUUAAAAAGAUGGCUCUAAGCCAGGUGCAAUGGCUCAUGCCUGUAAUCCCAGCACUCUGGGAGGCCGAGGCAGGAGGAUCACUUGAGGCCAGGAGUUUGAGACCAGCCUGGACAACAUAGCCUGACCUCAUCUCCACUAAAAAAG
RNAcentral lists this long non-coding RNA (7906 nucleotides) under Homo sapiens (human). RNAcentral describes it as "HSALNT0019830". Lineage: Eukaryota; Metazoa; Chordata; Mammalia; Primates; Hominidae. The record is from RNAcentral.